UACGUAGGUGGCAAGCGUUGUCCGGAUUUAUUGGGUUUAAAGGGUGCGUAGGCGGUCUGAUAAGUCAGUUGUGAAAUACGGCAGCUUAACUGUCGAGGUGCAAUUGAUACUGUUGGACUAGAGUACUGAUGAGGUAAGCGGAAUGGACGGUGUAGCGGUGAAAUGCUUAGAUAUCGUCCAGAACACCGAUAGCGAAGGCAGCUUACUACAGGGAUAUUGACACUGAGGCACGAAAGCGUGGGGAUCAAACAGG
RNAcentral lists this ribosomal RNA (253 nucleotides) under uncultured bacterium. RNAcentral's name for it is "partial 16S ribosomal RNA". It matches the Rfam family "Bacterial small subunit ribosomal RNA", at positions 524 to 776 of the family's 1533-position model. The record is from RNAcentral.